This is a long non-coding RNA of Apus apus (common swift), 1258 nucleotides long. RefSeq lists it as uncharacterized. NCBI's taxonomy places the organism in Eukaryota, Metazoa, Chordata, Aves, Apodiformes, Apodidae. The transcript has 2 exons. The record is from RefSeq and is a predicted model, not a curated record.
UGGACUUAUUUUGCGUGAGAGCCCCCGUGCGCUCCGUGGGGUCAAGGCCUCCAUGAUCAGCCCAGUGGUUUGGGGAGACCCUCGGCCUUGAGAGCCUGACACCUUCGGCUUCUUGGAGGGGGGCGGGGAGGGCGGCUGGAGCGGCAGGAAGUCUCGGAUAUGGUCAGAGAGUUUUUCAAAAGGGAGAAAGGGGGUGUCAGGAUGAUAACAAUAAAUAUAGCAGCGAGAAGAUGGCAUUUGUAGGGAGGAGCUUCUCUGUCAUUGGUGUAUUGGGGCGUCCGCCCUUCUAGAAGGUAAUGGAGGCUGCUCUGUUUUCCCGGGACAGGUUUUUUGUUUUUCUUUUUCCACUGUAAGGGAUACCGCAUUCUUUCCUUUGUUAGGCAGAUAUAGGUAAAACAGGCUUUCAUUUCUUUUUUCAUUCAGUAAUGUUUUAUGCUCAAGAAAACAACUGCCCGGAGGGGAGCCAGGAAUGCACGGCUGGGAACUUCCGAAUGAGUCUUCUGAGGACUGUGGGGGUGUUAUCUUUGUUUCCUUUAAAAGUGGCCCUUGAGAAAUAAGGCGAGAAAAACUGUGCUGCUUUUUGUAGCGUCUUCCCUCAGGAGGUAGAGGAGUGAGUCAUCGUGGCAAUGUGCUAAGAGAAAAUGUUUUUCAAGCAGGGGAAGGUAACACAGGAGUCCUCGACUGCAGAGUUGCUUAGAAACAAGACGAGAAUCGCGGGGCUGGUUUUAAAUGAUACUUGCUUCUGACACAUUUUUCAAGCAGAGGCCUCCCGGGAUUAUUUUUUGCCUCGGAAAUACGCUGCGAGGAGGGAACAUUUCAGGUUCAGGACUAAUGCUCACACUGAAGUGCCUGAGAAGGAGGUGGGACUGCUCUGAGUCUCUUGGAAACUAGAGAAGGAAGGAUUUUCCCCACUGACGUUUGAGAAGUCACUCGAGAAAACACUGUUGUCGAAAUAAAAGGGUUACCAGGCACAAAGAUUCCAGUCGGUGGGUGGGAGGGCGGGAGCAUCCCACCUUGAUGGCCUGAGCUAACCUCAAAGUAAAGACAGCAGGAACUACAACAUAAGAGAAUGGCAAAAUUCUUGUUUCAUAUGUAAAGUUAAGAGUGAUUAAUGGCUAAUCAAUCAUUUACUGUAGUUUGUCCUUUGUUGUUAUUUUGUGCAUAAGACCUGGCUUAUCUCUCAACGGGCUUGCUAACUUUUUUAUUUAUCUCCUGGCAUCAUUUUCUGUGCAGAACUGGAAUAAAACAAUUAUCUCGA